This 2575-nucleotide long non-coding RNA is filed under the name Durio zibethinus. RNAcentral describes it as "long non-coding RNA (DZIB_LNC000164)". Lineage: Eukaryota; Viridiplantae; Streptophyta; Magnoliopsida; Malvales; Malvaceae. The record is from RNAcentral.
UUAAAAAUCUCAUUCAAGCAUCUGGUAAUACAUACAGACAUAUGUCUUGAUCUUGAUCUUGAUCUUUUGUCAUGAAGUUGUUCAAACACUGGAGAAAAGAAACAAAAUAUUAUUAGUAGAAAACAACUUGGGGAAUAUAAAUAAGUGCAACUAGUAAAGAGCCAUUAGGAGUUGAACAAGCCAUUUGCGCAGAACACGUUCAGAUGCAAUAAUUUUCAGAGUUAUAAUUGUUUAAUGAAAGUAAGUUAUCCAAGUUAUGAAAACUUACAUUAAACUUCACCAUGAAAGAGAAUGGGAACAGAUUGGCAAAAAAAUUGAAGGAUUAAAUUGAAAAGUAUGGAAUAAACAAAACCUCUUUUGAGAAAAGCAUGCCAUUUGUCUUCUUUAUGGCUUCAACCUUGUUUUAUAAGGAAAAUCUUAUUAUGAUUGGCUAAGGUCUUGCAAGGCUCUUCAAGUUACAAAAAUAAAUGUACUAUCUCAUAAAUAUCAUAUUAAAAAGAAAGUAAACUUACUGUCUCCUUCACAAUAACCUAUAAUAAUGCAAACAUAGCAACCUUGUAAACAAAGACAUAUGUGAACCCAUGUUAGGCUAUAGAACACCAAUAAGGUUAUGAUAUAUUAACAUCAUGAAAAUUAAAGCAUAUAAUCAAAAGGUAUAUAAAAACUAUUUAAGGGCAAUGGAUCUAAAGCCUACAAUUUCAUCCUUAAAAACGCAAUUUUCAUACAAAGUUAUUAUAUCAAUAGCUUAGAUAAAAUACAAUUAUGAAAUCUCAACCAUUCACAAUGGACCAGUCUAUCUAACCAUUCACAUUAUGAAGAUGCUGUUAUCUUCUAAUAUUGACUAUAACAAGGCUGCCCAAGCCCUUAUCUACUUGUAGUCAUUUAAUCAUAUGACUAUAACAGGUUGCCUAAACCUAGAUUGCCUAUACAUUUGGGAGAUUUUUGUAUGUUUGGUAGUGUUAUGUGGAGAGAAAUUAACUAAGUUUGAGUGUUGAAUGUGUGGUGUAUUCCUAGGGAGUUUUCUAAAGUUAUUGUCUUCCUUAAUUUCAGUUUUUAUAAUUCACCUACAUUCCUUUUGUUUUCACCUACAUCACAAUCAUAAACAAAACAACUGAGAAAACCAUUGACUAACCAGAAAAUAAUACCAAAUUGAAAUACAAAAAAGACUUACAUAUCACCAAAAAACAUAUGCUAGACUUGAUGGCAAUGUUCCAAAGAAAAAUAGAUUGAACAAGAACUAUAUAUAAAGUUUUAACUUCUGAAUCUCCGUUAAUAGAAUCAUAAACUUAACAUGAAUUCUACUUUCCAAAACUUUCUAAUCAGAAUCUUCACAUAUAUGGAGAUUUAAGAAUAAUGCUUAUCAGUAGAUAUGUUUGGUCUAUUAUCUCAACAAUAAACAUACUAGGAAAUCUAUUUCCAUAUACCAUAGCACGAUGAACUGUAUUAUUUAGGUAGCAGUUUAACAGGAAAAAAAAAAAAUGAAGAAAUCAAAUAAUAAUAAAAAACAUAUAAUAUUUCUAAUGAUUUCUUCUAUUCAUUAAAAGAAUAUAUAUAUAUAUAACACCAAAAAGUUUCAAAAGUAAUCAACUCAUAACAACCACUUUGACUUGAAAAAUAGCUCAUACGAAUCAUUGAUAAGAUUCACAAAUUAAUUCUUGAAAUUAAAAUUACUUUGAAAUCAAAUGGAAAACAUAUGAUCUAUAAUUACCAUAGCCAGCUGAACCAGCCACAAAAAUAGGCCAUCUUAUUCCAAGUUGCUCAUCAUCUAUAUCUUGUGGUUUAAUUUUUUCUAACAUAACAAAUCAUGAGUUUCAUCCAAGAAAAGGCCCAAAAAAUUAAAAACAUAGCCUCAAUCAAACUCAAACACUAAAUUAAGAUCAAGCACAACCACGUAAUUGCAGAUUAAACAUUUCUAUUUAAUUUCAAAUUACCUCUUUUUUGUUGAAAUAUUUGAAAAAACUGAAACAUUCGUAAAAACUGUACCGCGCUGUUGCAAAUACUAUGAAAGUAAGAUUGUAAGAGCCAUCUUGCAAAACUUGGUGUUGGUUGCACUGCUGCUACAGCUUAGGGUACAAAAGACGAGGACAUGGUGGUUAAGGGCUUGAAACGCUCGAUUUCUAGAGUGAGAAAGGGAGAUGUGAUUAAAGCUUUUGAUCGGAUUUUUGGAGAGAAGAAGGAAGAUGAUAGAGGAGGACAAGAAAAGAAGCUGUGCUCGAUGCUGGGUGCUGAAGGAAGCAGCAAUAGUGGCUAGAACUUGGAAGUAGGGUUUCGGCCUUUUAGAAAGAAGGAGAAAGGUGUGCCGCUCAGAGCAAGAGGAAGAGUAAGGAAAAUGAGCAGACUAGGAGAGGCUGAUAGGAGCUGGACGGCAAACAGAGCAGCUACAAGCGAUGGCUGGAACUUACAGGUGAGGUUUCGGGGUCGGAAGAAAGAAGAUAAUGGCGUCGCCGGUGAGAGAAGAAAGAAGAGGGGAAGAAAUAGAAUUAGUAUUAGGGUACUUAAAAUCUUUAAUUUAUUUUUUAAAAUAUCGACCGAAUAAUUCGGCGGUACAUUUUUGUGCCGAUAGAUUAUAUCAAUU